RNAcentral lists this ribosomal RNA (706 nucleotides) under uncultured cyanobacterium. RNAcentral's name for it is "bacterial SSU rRNA". It matches the Rfam family "Bacterial small subunit ribosomal RNA", at positions 84 to 823 of the family's 1533-position model. The record is from RNAcentral. Lineage: Bacteria; Bacillati; Cyanobacteriota.
CUUCGGACUGAGUGGCGGACGGGUGAGUAACACGUGAGAACCUGCCUUAAGGUCGGGGAUAACAGUUGGAAACGACUGCUAAUACCGGAUGUGCCUACGGGUGAAAGAUUUAUUGCCUAAAGAUGGGCUCGCGUCUGAUUAGCUAGUUGGAGUGGUAAUGGCACACCAAGGCGACGAUCAGUAGCUGGUCUGAGAGGAUGAUCAGCCACACUGGGACUGAGACACGGCCCAGACUCCUACGGGAGGCAGCAGUGGGGAAUUUUCCGCAAUGGGCGAAAGCCUGACGGAGCAAGACCGCGUGAGGGAGGAAGGCUCUUGGGUUGUAAACCUCUUUUGUCAGGGAAGAACACAAUGACGGUACCUGACGAAUCAGCAUCGGCUAACUCCGUGCCAGCAGCCGCGGUAAUACGGAGGAUGCAAGCGUUAUCCGGAAUUAUUGGGCGUAAAGCGUCCGCAGGUGGUUGUACAAGUCUGCUGUCAAAGCGCGGAGCUUAACUCCGUAAAGGCGGUGGAAACUGUGCGACUAGAGUUCGGUAGGGGUCGCGGGAAUUCCCAGUGUAGCGGUGAAAUGCGUAGAUAUUGGGAAGAACACCGGUGGCGAAAGCGCGCGACUGGACCGAGACUGACACUCAUGGACGAAAGCUAGGGGAGCGAAAGGGAUUAGAUACCCCUGUAGUCCUAGCCGUAAACGAUGGGUACUAGGUGU